Molecule: ribosomal RNA, 491 nt
Filed under: uncultured bacterium
Lineage: Bacteria
Description: partial 16S ribosomal RNA
Rfam family: Bacterial small subunit ribosomal RNA
Source: RNAcentral
GUGCACGCUGGCGGUAGGCCUAACACAUGCCAGUCGAACGGCAGCACAGUAAGAGCUUGCUCUUACGGGUGGCGAGUGGCGGACGGGUGAGGAAUACAUCGGAAUCUACUUUUUCGUGGGGGAUAACGUAGGGAAACUUACGCUAAUACCGCAUACGACCUACGGGUGAAAGCAGGGGAUCUUCGGACCUUGCGCGAUUGAAUGAGCCGAUGUCGGAUUAGCUAGUUGGCGGGGUAAAGGCCCACCAAGGCGACGAUCCGUAGCUGGUCUGAGAGGAUGAUCAGCCACACUGGAACUGAGACACGGUCCAGACUCCUACGGGAGGCAGCAGUGGGGAAUAUUGGACAAUGGGCGCAAGCCUGAUCCAGCUAUACCGCGUGGGUGAAGAAGGCCUUCGGGUUGUAAAGCCCUUUUGUUGGGAAAGAAAAGCAGCAGGUUAAUACCCCGCUGUUCUGACGGUACCCAAAGAAUAAGCACCGGCUAACUUCGUG